Phyllostomus hastatus (greater spear-nosed bat) is the source of this 421-nucleotide long non-coding RNA. RefSeq lists it as uncharacterized. The record is from RefSeq and is a predicted model, not a curated record. The transcript has 3 exons. Lineage: Eukaryota; Metazoa; Chordata; Mammalia; Chiroptera; Phyllostomidae.
GCAAGGCAGCCCUUGUCCUGCCCUUCACAUGAGCUGUGAGGCCCAGCCAGGGUGGAGAUGUCCGUCUGUCUGACCCAGAGCCAUGGGCUGCCGGGCACCAGCCCCACCUGCAGGGACAAUAUCUGAGCAGCAAACUCGGGCAUAAUUAAAAAAUGGAAACCUUAAUGCAUUUUGACAGUCGUAAACACCCGAUGUGACUUCCAAGCAGUGGAAUGUUUCAUUGCCCCAGAAGGCUGCCUUCCUGCCUCCUCCAGGACAUGCCCCCGGCAGGGCAGCCAGUGUGCUCACCUCGUCUCCACAGGUCUGUUUGCUGCCGGUUGCCUGCUGCUGAUUUAAACGAACAGUCAGCCCCUCGGUUCCCACUGCGCUCACUCUGUGAACAGGACCUCUGAGUACGGAGACUGGGCUUGGGGUCUGGAAC